RNAcentral lists this ribosomal RNA (2904 nucleotides) under Escherichia coli. RNAcentral describes it as "23S ribosomal RNA". It matches the Rfam family "Bacterial large subunit ribosomal RNA". Lineage: Bacteria; Pseudomonadati; Pseudomonadota; Gammaproteobacteria; Enterobacterales; Enterobacteriaceae. The record is from RNAcentral.
GGUUAAGCGACUAAGCGUACACGGUGGAUGCCCUGGCAGUCAGAGGCGAUGAAGGACGUGCUAAUCUGCGAUAAGCGUCGGUAAGGUGAUAUGAACCGUUAUAACCGGCGAUUUCCGAAUGGGGAAACCCAGUGUGUUUCGACACACUAUCAUUAACUGAAUCCAUAGGUUAAUGAGGCGAACCGGGGGAACUGAAACAUCUAAGUACCCCGAGGAAAAGAAAUCAACCGAGAUUCCCCCAGUAGCGGCGAGCGAACGGGGAGCAGCCCAGAGCCUGAAUCAGUGUGUGUGUUAGUGGAAGCGUCUGGAAAGGCGCGCGAUACAGGGUGACAGCCCCGUACACAAAAAUACACAUACUGUGAGCUCGAUGAGUAGGGCGGGACACGUGGUAUCCUGUCUGAAUAUGGGGGGACCAUCCUCCAAGGCUAAAUACUCCUGACUGACCGAUAGUGAACCAGUACCGUGAGGGAAAGGCGAAAAGAACCCCGGCGAGGGGAGUGAAAAAGAACCUGAAACCGUGUACGUACAAGCAGUGGGAGCACGCUUAGGCGUGUGACUGCGUACCUUUUGUAUAAUGGGUCAGCGACUUAUAUUCUGUAGCAAGGUUAACCGAAUAGGGGAGCCGAAGGGAAACCGAGUCUUAACUGGGCGUUAAGUUGCAGGGUAUAGACCCGAAACCCGGUGAUCUAGCCAUGGGCAGGUUGAAGGUUGGGUAACACUAACUGGAGGACCGAACCGACUAAUGUUGAAAAAUUAGCGGAUGACUUGUGGCUGGGGGUGAAAGGCCAAUCAAACCGGGAGAUAGCUGGUUCUCCCCGAAAGCUAUUUAGGUAGCGCCUCGUGAAUUCAUCUCCGGGGGUAGAGCACUGUUUCGGCAAGGGGGUCAUCCCGACUUACCAACCCGAUGCAAACUGCGAAUACCGGAGAAUGUUAUCACGGGAGACACACGGCGGGUGCUAACGUCCGUCGUGAAGAGGGAAACAACCCAGACCGCCAGCUAAGGUCCCAAAGUCAUGGUUAAGUGGGAAACGAUGUGGGAAGGCCCAGACAGCCAGGAUGUUGGCUUAGAAGCAGCCAUCAUUUAAAGAAAGCGUAAUAGCUCACUGGUCGAGUCGGCCUGCGCGGAAGAUGUAACGGGGCUAAACCAUGCACCGAAGCUGCGGCAGCGACGCUGAUGCGUUGUUGGGUAGGGGAGCGUUCUGUAAGCCUGCGAAGGUGUGCUGUGAGGCAUGCUGGAGGUAUCAGAAGUGCGAAUGCUGACAUAAGUAACGAUAAAGCGGGUGAAAAGCCCGCUCGCCGGAAGACCAAGGGUUCCUGUCCAACGUUAAUCGGGGCAGGGUGAGUCGACCCCUAAGGCGAGGCCGAAAGGCGUAGUCGAUGGGAAACAGGUUAAUAUUCCUGUACUUGGUGUUACUGCGAAGGGGGGACGGAGAAGGCUAUGUUGGCCGGGCGACGGUUGUCCCGGUUUAAGCGUGUAGGCUGGUUUUCCAGGCAAAUCCGGAAAAUCAAGGCUGAGGCGUGAUGACGAGGCACUACGGUGCUGAAGCAACAAAUGCCCUGCUUCCAGGAAAAGCCUCUAAGCAUCAGGUAACAUCAAAUCGUACCCCAAACCGACACAGGUGGUCAGGUAGAGAAUACCAAGGCGCUUGAGAGAACUCGGGUGAAGGAACUAGGCAAAAUGGUGCCGUAACUUCGGGAGAAGGCACGCUGAUAUGUAGGUGAAGUCCCUCGCGGAUGGAGCUGAAAUCAGUCGAAGAUACCAGCUGGCUGCAACUGUUUAUUAAAAACACAGCACUGUGCAAACACGAAAGUGGACGUAUACGGUGUGACGCCUGCCCGGUGCCGGAAGGUUAAUUGAUGGGGUUAGCGCAAGCGAAGCUCUUGAUCGAAGCCCCGGUAAACGGCGGCCGUAACUAUAACGGUCCUAAGGUAGCGAAAUUCCUUGUCGGGUAAGUUCCGACCUGCACGAAUGGCGUAAUGAUGGCCAGGCUGUCUCCACCCGAGACUCAGUGAAAUUGAACUCGCUGUGAAGAUGCAGUGUACCCGCGGCAAGACGGAAAGACCCCGUGAACCUUUACUAUAGCUUGACACUGAACAUUGAGCCUUGAUGUGUAGGAUAGGUGGGAGGCUUAGAAGUGUGGACGCCAGUCUGCAUGGAGCCGGCCUUGAAAUACCACCCUUUAAUGUUUGAUGUUCUAACGUGGACCCGUAAUCCGGGUUGCGGACAGUGUCUGGUGGGUAGUUUGACUGGGGCGGUCUCCUCCUAAAGAGUAACGGAGGAGCACGAAGGUUGGCUAAUCCUGGUCGGACAUCAGGAGGUUAGUGCAAUGGCAUAAGCCAGCUUGACUGCGAGCGUGACGGCGCGAGCAGGUGCGAAAGCAGGUCAUAGUGAUCCGGUGGUUCUGAAUGGAAGGGCCAUCGCUCAACGGAUAAAAGGUACUCCGGGGAUAACAGGCUGAUACCGCCCAAGAGUUCAUAUCGACGGCGGUGUUUGGCACCUCGAUGUCGGCUCAUCACAUCCUGGGGCUGAAGUAGGUCCCAAGGGUAUGGCUGUUCGCCAUUUAAAGUGGUACGCGAGCUGGGUUUAGAACGUCGUGAGACAGUUCGGUCCCUAUCUGCCGUGGGCGCUGGAGAACUGAGGGGGGCUGCUCCUAGUACGAGAGGACCGGAGUGGACGCAUCACUGGUGUUCGGGUUGUCAUGCCAAUGGCACUGCCCGGUAGCUAAAUGCGGAAGAGAUAAGUGCUGAAAGCAUCUAAGCACGAAACUUGCCCCGAGAUGAGUUCUCCCUGACUCCUUGAGAGUCCUGAAGGAACGUUGAAGACGACGACGUUGAUAGGCCGGGUGUGUAAGCGCAGCGAUGCGUUGAGCUAACCGGUACUAAUGAACCGUGAGGCUUAACCUU